Molecule: ribosomal RNA, 253 nt
Filed under: uncultured bacterium
Lineage: Bacteria
Description: partial 16S ribosomal RNA
Rfam family: Bacterial small subunit ribosomal RNA
Source: RNAcentral
UACGAAGGGGGCUAGCGUUGUUCGGAAUUACUGGGCGUAAAGCGCACGUAGGCGGAUAUUUAAGUCAGGGGUGAAAUCCCAGAGCUCAACUCUGGAACUGCCUUUGAUACUGGGUGUCUUGAGUGUGAGAGAGGUAUGUGGAACUCCGAGUGUAGAGGUGAAAUUCGUAGAUAUUCGGAAGAACACCAGUGGCGAAGGCGACAUACUGGCUCAUUACUGACGCUGAGGCGCGAAAGCGUGGGGAGCAAACAGG